GAAGAGUUCCUUCUGUAGAUGGGGGACGGGGCUCGAACCUCUGUCCUUGCGGUGGUGACAUGCACUCUACCAGAUGAGCCUGUAGCCCACCGUGGAGCUACCAAGCAGACAGCUUCCUCCUGCUGGGAAUCCCCACCUCUGCCCUUCCACCUGCUCACGCCUGCACCCAGCUGUGGCCGAAACAGACUCAUCUGCCUCUGGGCAGCUGACCCCACUGGACUGCACACUGUGGGUGUGAAGGCAACACUCAGGGCAGAGAAAGACGCCGGCCGACGUGGUCCCACCUGCAUAUCCUCCUCCCCCAGGUGCCCAAGACACCUCAGCCUCACCUGGAGAAUCCCGCUGACAUCACAACCGACCCUGACACCCUGAACCAGCCCGGGCGGUGGCAGUCUUGUGCCCAGGGAACCAUGACUGAGGGGACCAGAGGGGCCUGUGGUCAUCGGGCAUGGGGGAGCCAGCAUGGAGCUAGGAGCUUUAUUGAGAGGCUAAGGGCAGACGCCUAAAGUGACAGACACCCUGGGCCACCAUGGGAUGCUCGGGAGCCAUUAUUAAUGGCUGUAAUUAUGCAGCCUCCCUCCAUCUGUGAGUGGACCUCGUCCCUUGCCGGGACACAAUGCAGAGUACUUAGCACAACACCUGACGUUUAAUAAGUAGCCAAUAGAUGUUAAGUAUC
Molecule: long non-coding RNA, 676 nt
Organism: Erinaceus europaeus (western European hedgehog)
Lineage: Eukaryota; Metazoa; Chordata; Mammalia; Eulipotyphla; Erinaceidae
Exons: 3
Source: RefSeq, a predicted model, not a curated record